This is a long non-coding RNA of Rhineura floridana, 5261 nucleotides long. RefSeq lists it as uncharacterized. Lineage: Eukaryota; Metazoa; Chordata; Lepidosauria; Squamata; Rhineuridae. The record is from RefSeq and is a predicted model, not a curated record. The transcript has 3 exons.
UGGCCGCGCCCCCUGCCGCCGCUCGCCUUGGGUGGAGGGAAGGGAGGAGGGCAGGACCCUGGGCCUGGCAGGGCGGGCCGUCUGGGGACGCGAGGCGCCCUGCUGGGGCUCUGCUCGCCUCGCCUCUGGCCACCCCAGGGAAUGCCAGGAGGAGAGCGACCGCUGAGGGAGUCCGGCCCCGGCCCCGGCCCGGCCCCGGCCCCGAUACCACCCGGCCCAGCGUGCGGGUGCGGGAGAGCGAGCGAGCGCGAAUGAAAAAAGGCCGGCCACACGUCCAGCGGAGGGAAGCCUUCUGCCCAAGAGCUUUCUUUUCAUGGUAGAAACCCAAGGCGGCUUACAUAUGGUUCCCAGGCGGUCCCCCAUCCAGGCACUGACCAGACCAGGAAGCCGGCCUUAUGUGCCUUCAGACCAUCGCCUCUUUCCACCCCAGUUAGGCUUGCAUCAUCUGGUUCCAACGGAGAGUUCCUCAGCAAUGUCUUCCUUGAUUUUGUGCAUACGUGACUGUCAUGUGGAUGAAGAUGCACCUGUUUAUGCAGGCCGCCUUGAUCUCCCUCCCUGUUUUAAUUGUUGCUUUAAUGGGAUUGUUUCAUUGCUUAUUUCAAUCGCAGAUGUCUAUAUCUUAAUGGGGUUGUUUUACUGUGUUUUUAAUUAUGGAUGUUUGUAGCUUAAUGUUUUAAUUGGGUUGUUUUAGUGUGUAUUUUUAAUGAUGGAUGUUUAUAGUUUAAUGUUUUUGUCACUGGCUUUUAUAACUUUAAAUUGCUUAGAAACCUAUUUUGGCAUUAAGUGGUCCAUAAAUUUAUUAAUAGUAGGUUGUGACUAAUGUUCACAGCCUUAGAGUAGACCCAUUGAAAUUUCUUUCUUUCUUUCUUUCUUUCUUUCUUUCUUUCUUUCUUUCUUUCUUUCUUUCUUUCUUUUCUUUAUAUCCCACCUUUCCUCCAAGGAGCUCAAGGGAUGUACAAACAUGGUUCUCCCCCCCCAUUUUAUCCUCACAACAACCCUCUGAGGUAGGAUAGGCUGAGAGUCAAGGUGAGCUACAUGGCCAAGUUGGGAUUUGAACACUGGUCUCCUAGGUCCCAGUCUGAAACUCUAACCACUAUGUCACUCUGGCUCCUAAUCAAAGGACAUAACUAAUUAAUUAAUUUAAAUGGAUCUGCUCCAAGUAAAACUUACUGGAUACAACAACAAUAAUAAUCCAGACGAGACAGGCAUCCAUUGCUGUUUUUUUGCAGAACUGAUGCCUGUGCACUGAGAGGAACUCAUAGGGGAGAGCAAGAGCAUCUCAUUAUAUUUGGCAAACGCUGCCUCACCUCAUCUUCCCCAGUCAAGGUGCAGAAUCUGCAAGGCCAGCCAAGUUAUUACAGGACCUGCAGCAGAAAAUCCCACAGCUGGCUCUCCCCAGGCAUAAGAAUAUAAUGAUGAUAAAUUAAACUUGCCCCUUCAAGACACCCCCAAAUCCAAAGCCUGAGGCAGCUGCCUAGCUCUGCCUAAGUGUGAGGCUGGCUCUCUCUUCCAGAGGUCCUGGAAACACCCCACAGAUGAGGCUUGAGGGUUUUCUCCAGCGGCCAGCUGGUCUCCCCAUCUCCACAUGGUCAGAGCAGAUCCAUUUCCCGACGUGGUAACUGGGGCCAGUCUCUUUCCCAGAUGAAUCAAAACACUCCCACCCGGUGCCCAAAUACCUCUAAGGCCAGCCUUCCCCAGCCUGGUGCCCUCCAGCUGUUUUGGACUACAACUCCCAUCAGCUGCAGCCGACACAGCCCAACUCUCGCCAGCCCCAGCUUCCGACUACAGACUUGCUGGGUGAUGGAUGUUGGAGUCCAGCAACAUCUGCAGGGCAUCAGGUUGGUGAAAGCUGAACUCGGGCAGUGGUAGCUAACCAGGUUGCCCUCCAGACAUUGUGGGCUACAACUCCGAUCAUCCCUGGAUCAAUGGCCAUGCAAGCUGGGGCUGAUGGGAGUUGAAGGGCACCUCGUUGGCUACUCCUGAACCAAGGCCUAGAUUUCUCUCUCUCUCUCUCUCUCUCUCUCUCUCUCUCUGAGUCCCUGCUCCCAAAAAAGUAAGGGGUCUAAGACCCCUGGAGACUCUGGACAACUGCACCCCUGCUCUCUGACCAGUCCAAGAUUUUUGCUUCAGAGUAGCCUUCUCCACCAGACCCAGUCAACAAGGCCGUGAUGGCAGGUGUGUAGUUGUCCGAGGUCUCAGGGGUCUUACACCCUAUGUCUCCAGCAUCCUACGAGCCAAUCACCAUAAAAGGGGAAUGUGUUGGCCUUUGAGAAGAGUCUUCUAACAAGCUUCCUUGUUCUUUCUUGCUGAUUGGAGCCAAUCAGAGUGAAAGGAGGUGAGUUGGCCACUGAGAAGACUCUUUUUAGUAGUUAACACACUCCCUUUUUGUGCUGAUUGGCUCUUGCAGAUGUCUGUUAUUGUGGAAGGCGGCAUUAAAACAAUGAUCUCAUUCAGCAAAAAUGUAUUUUUAUAUUACAAAGUUCUGGCACCAGGUCAUUAGCAGACAAACUGGACCAGGAAGGGGGUUGCUGUUAAGCAGCCUUGCUUUUCCCCUCUUGAAAUGGUCACUAGCUGGCCUGGUACUUGCUCCCUUUUCCUCAUAUGGGCCGGUAUCCUGAAACUGUGAGCUUGAAGGCCAGGUUGUUUGUGUUGUCAAUCUACAUAAGGUAUUGGUAUCGGUUGCUGCAGUUUUGCUUCCUGAGAAUCUCAGCAUUCUUUUUUUAAAAACAAAAUCAAGUCUCUAGUCCUCAUGCAUUAUGAAGCUAUGCUUGAAUGCCUGCGGGUGGUGUCUGGUGGUGACUCCUCAGAAGCCAGAAUGGGAGUUAGGUGGUGGGGUGGAUAAGAGUGCAGUGGCCCACACUCAUUAAUAGUUCCUUGCACCCACACCCAUGGGAAGGCACCCACACCCAUUCAUUGCUCCUUGCUAGCUGAGUUGCCCUAUUUUGUAAUGCUGUCUGGAUGCCCCUCUCCACGGGAGAUGAACUCUGAACUAUGGCACUUCGACAGAUGAGAAAUGGACAAGAAGUCUCAGCAAGACAAAGGAGAUGUAUGAUAGCUUUGUAAUAUUUCAUUUAUUUAUAGAUGCACAAGCAAAGCCUCAAAGGAAGCAAACAGGCACUCCUACUGCGGACAACUCUUGCAUCCGGCCUGUCCCCCACUCUGCCCCCCAAACUCACCUCUCUUUCUCUCUCUAAGCUGACAAAUGUUGGAAGUGGGGCAAGAGCAACUCCUGUUUUGUUAUUUUAUGUUCCAAAAGGGAGAUAGAGUGAGGGUCCUCCAGAUGGCUAUACUUGACUACCUUUACCUGCGAUGCUCUGACUGGCUUCCUUCUGUCAUUAGACUGAUAUGCUUAGGGAGGCUUAUCUGCCUCCCCUUCUGCCCUUUCCUCUCUUCUCUAGUUGUUCAACUGUCGAGAGGAGACACCUUUGUCUCUGCUCUAUGAGGGCAACCCCCAAGCCUGGGCCUUGCGCCUCCAACUUAGUUAAUUAGAACUAGGUAGGCCUUUCCUAUCUCCUACGCAUUUCUAUAAAUAAAGUAGCUUUUCUUAUUUUAUUAAGUCUUAAGUCUCAGUGAUCCUAAUGCAGGGUAAAAGCCCGCCACUUAGGUAAACGCACAUCUCGGACCGUUGACAAUCUGCUCAUUUAUACAAAUUUACAUAACAACAAACUGCUUCGGACUUGCUCUUCUGCCCUAUUCCCCACUAGUGAAAGAUCAGAUGAUCAGCCCGGCCUAUGAGCAAGUUAUUGCCCCCUCCAAGGAUGCUCAUCCGUCACCACCCAUAUAACAAUUGCCAACAUGGAACCUCCAUGUUUAGAGGCAAUCUACCUCUGCGUACCAUCUGCUGGGAAAGAACAGCAGGCGAGGGGCUUAGUGGAAGCACCCGGUUGUUCACGCUUUGAAAGAUGAUGUUAGACAGGCUAGGCCUUUGGUCUGGUCUAGCAGGGCAAUUCUGAUAUUCUUUUCUGCCCUUUCCCUAAUGUUGUCUGUCCAAGGACAGUGAGGUUGGGGUUUUUUUGGUCAAUGGAAAUUAAAACUUAAAAUAAAAUAAGAGGAAUGGUCACAGCCUGUUUGAUCCUUUUGCCGUUUUUCUUGAGAGAUUACUGCAUUUCAGAGGCCACUAGAUGAAUCACCCUUUUUAUUGGGGUGUGGAAGUUACCCUGCCAUAGGACAGAGUAAGCGACUGGUACCAAGGCAAAUAAUUUCGGAAUGCAAAUGAUUAAGUGGUAUAUACAUUUUAAAAAGUUUGGGUCCAUCUAGGUGAGUAUCAGCCACUUCCAGAUGUUGCUGGAUCCCAACUCCGAUCAGCCUGGCAGCCAGCAUGUCUAAUGGUCAGGGGUGAUGGGGGUUGGAGUCCAGCAGCUUCUGGAGGGAUGCAGAUUCCCCAACCCCGAUCUACACUGACUGGCAGCAGCUCUUCAAGGUCCCACAAAAAGGGCCCGGGGGCUGAUUCAUCCCAGAGGGGGCCCAUCCUAAUCCAGCAUUUUGUUCUCACAGUGGCCAACCAGAUGCCCCCCAUGGGAAGCCCCCAAGCAGGACUCUCCCCAUUUGUGACCCCCAGCAACUGGAGUGCACAGGCACCCUACCCCCAACAGUGGAGGCAGAACAUAGCCAUGGUCAUAGUGGGCUCUCUGACACUGGAGGCCUUCAAGAGGCAGCUGGACAGCCAUCUGUUGGGAAUGCUUUGAUCUGGAUUCCUGCAUUGUGCAGGGGGUUGGACUUGAUGGCCUUACAGGCCCCUUCCAACUCUACUAUUCUAUGAUUCUAUGGUGGCUAGUAGCCAAUGAUAGCCCUCUCCUCCAUGAAUAAGACAGGAGUCUUGCCCAGCCCAGCCUGCCAGGGCUUGAACCUUGGACCUUCUGCAUGCAGAGCAGGGGCUCUCCCACUCCGCCAUGACCCCAGGGGUGGGCCAGGAUCUACGGUCGCAUUCACACGUGACCCAUGGCAACUUGGUGUUAAGUUGUUGUCGUUGGCUGAAGGUUAUAGAGGUGGCUGUGGUUUCUCUGGGAUGCCUGGAAGAGAUGGAGGGAGUCAGUUCUGGAUGACACUGCACCUCCUUCCCUGUUGGAACAAGACAGCAAUGCUUGCAGUUACUUACCUGAGCCAGUGGGGGGCAGAAGACAGAAAGGGUCAUGUUUGUGUCCCUCUCAUUGACCUUCUUGUAACCUUUGUUUCUUUGUUUUUGAGCAGCUCUUCUUCCUUCUCCCUGGACGUGUGAUGUAAGUUGAUAGUGAAUAAACCUUGUUUUUUCUUUCUCACCUUUA